Molecule: ribosomal RNA, 397 nt
Filed under: Scincella reevesii
Lineage: Eukaryota; Metazoa; Chordata; Lepidosauria; Squamata; Scincidae
Description: partial 12S ribosomal RNA
Source: RNAcentral
CUUAGCCCUAAACACAGAUCUUACACUUAUAAUAAUAUCCGCCAGAGAACUACAAGCGAAAAGCUCGAAACCCUAAGGACUUGGCGGUGCUUCAAAUCAAUCUAGAGGAGCCUGUCCUAUAAUCGAUACUCCCCGUUCUACCCUACCACCUCUAGUAAACCAGCCUAUAUACCGCCGUCGCCAGCUUACCUUAUGAAAGAAACAUAGUAGGCAAAAUAGUUAUCAACUAAUACGUCAGGUCAAGGUGUAGCAUACGAAGUGGCAGAGAUGGGCUACAUUUUUUAAACAAACACACGAAUAACGUACUGAAAUACACGUUUAAAGGAGGAUUUAGUAGUAAUAUAAUUAAGAAAAUUUAUAUAAAACCUGCUCUGAAGCGCGCACACACCGCCCGUCA